GUCGAGAGCUUUCGGAGCUCGGCAUACUGCUCAGUAACACGUCCUUUUACCUGCCCUGUGCUGGGGGAUAACCUCGGGAAACUGACCUUAAUACCCCAUAGUCCACUACGCCUGGAACGGUGAGUGGAUGAAAGCCCCGGCGGCACAGGAUGGGCCUGCGGCGUAUCAGGUAGUAGGGGGUGUAAAGUACCCUCUAGCCUUCGACGCGUACGGGUUGUGAGAGCAAUAGCCCGGAGAUGGAUUCUGAGACACGAAUCCAGGUCCUACGGGACGCAGCAGUCGCGAAACCUUGACAAUGCGGGAAACCGUGAUCAGGGGACUCCAAGUGCCAGGAGUAAGAUCCUGUGCUUUUCUUCUCUCUUCAAAGGAUUAGGAAUAAGAGGUGGGUAAGGACGGUGCCAGCCGCCGCGGUAAUACCGGCGCCUCGAGUGGUAGUCGAUUUUAUUGGGCCUAAAACGUCCGUCGCCGGUCUGGUGCAUUCGUGGGUAAAUCAACCCGCUCAACGGGUUGAAUUCUGCGAGCACGGCCAGACUAGGGACCGGGAGAGGUGUGGGGUACGCUCGGGGUAGGGGUAAAAUCCUGUCAUCCCGAGCGGACCACCUGUUGCGAAGGCGCCACACUAGAACGGAUCCGACGGUCAGGGACGAAGCCUAGGGGGACGAACCGGAUUAGAUACCCGGGUAGUCCUAG
Molecule: ribosomal RNA, 690 nt
Filed under: uncultured archaeon
Lineage: Archaea
Description: bacterial SSU rRNA
Rfam family: Archaeal small subunit ribosomal RNA
Source: RNAcentral